Molecule: long non-coding RNA, 451 nt
Organism: Magnolia sinica
Lineage: Eukaryota; Viridiplantae; Streptophyta; Magnoliopsida; Magnoliales; Magnoliaceae
Exons: 2
Source: RefSeq, a predicted model, not a curated record
UGAAAGUUCAGUAAAUCUUCUCUCGAAUGUUCCUCUCGGCAUUGUGGAAGCAAGUGAAUGACCAUUGCUUCAGCUUCUUUGUAUGUGAAACAAAGGUUGAUGAAAAGAUCUAAAAAAAAAAACUCAUUGAGGUGAUAUGUUGACUUUGGAGGUGAGACCAUCGAUCGUGUGUAUUGGAAUGUAGAUAUUGAGAAAAACACAACUGUUGACAUUUUCAUUUGAUGUUCUGUACAAAUCUGUACACAAACCAUUGGAAGAACACAAAUCAAAGAAUGCGAAAAACACAACUGUUGACAUUUUCAUUUGAUGUUCUGUACAGAUCUGUACACAAACCAUUGAAAGAACACAAAUCAAAGAAUGCAAAGCCACACCUACAGCUCAUCACACAGAGCAGCUAAAAAGAAACAAUAAGAAAGAACAGCAUAAAGAAAAAGGGAAAAAAAAAAAAGAA